This 73-nucleotide transfer RNA is filed under the name Caudoviricetes sp. RNAcentral describes it as "tRNA-Ile". It matches the Rfam family "tRNA". From Rfam's summary of the family: Transfer RNA (tRNA) molecules are approximately 80 nucleotides in length. Their secondary structure includes four short double-helical elements and three loops (D, anti-codon, and T loops). Further hydrogen bonds mediate the characteristic L-shaped molecular structure. tRNAs have two regions of fundamental functional importance: the anti-codon, which is responsible for specific mRNA codon recognition, and the 3' end, to which the tRNAs corresponding amino acid is attached (by aminoacyl-tRNA synthetases). tRNAs cope with the degeneracy of the genetic code in two manners: having more than one tRNA (with a specific anti-codon) for a particular amino acid; and 'wobble' base-pairing, i.e. permitting non-standard base-pairing at the 3rd anti-codon position. Lineage: Duplodnaviria; Heunggongvirae; Uroviricota; Caudoviricetes. The record is from RNAcentral.
ACACGCUUGGCGCAAUGGUUAGCGUAUCCGGCUUAUAUCCGGACGGUUCUGGGUUCGAGUCCCAGAGCGUGUA